RNAcentral lists this microRNA (22 nucleotides) under Haplochromis burtoni (Burton's mouthbrooder). Its description in RNAcentral is "abu-miR-10558". Lineage: Eukaryota; Metazoa; Chordata; Actinopteri; Cichliformes; Cichlidae. The record is from miRBase by way of RNAcentral.
AUCCGCUUGGCAUCUUUCUUGG